This 471-nucleotide ribosomal RNA is filed under the name uncultured Pseudomonadota bacterium. RNAcentral describes it as "bacterial SSU rRNA". It matches the Rfam family "Bacterial small subunit ribosomal RNA", at positions 8 to 525 of the family's 1533-position model. The record is from RNAcentral. Lineage: Bacteria; Pseudomonadati; Pseudomonadota.
AGAGUUUGAUCCUGGCUCAGAACGAACGCUGGCGGCAGGCCUAACACAUGCAAGUCGAACGAAGCCUUCGGGCUUAGUGGCGCACGGGUGAGUAGCACGUGGGAACCUACCUUCCGGUACGGAAUAACCCAGGGAAACUUGGGCUAAGACCGUAUACGCCCUUCGGGGGAAAGAUUUAUCGCCGGAAGAUGGGCUCGCGCCCGAUUAGCUAGUUGGUGGGGUAACGGCCUACCAAGGCUGCGAUCGGUAGCUGGUCUGAGAGGAUGAUCAGCCACACUGGGACUGAGACACGGCCCAGACUCCUACGGGAGGCAGCAGUGGGGAAUAUUGGACAAUGGGCGCAAGCCUGAUCCAGCCAUGCCGCGUGAGUGAAGAAGGCCUUAGGGUUGUAAAGCUCUUUCAGCGGGGAAGAUGAUGACGGUACCCGCAGAAGAAGCCCCGGCUAACUCCGUGCCAGCAGCCGCGGUAAUA